GACGAACGCUGGCGGCGUGCUUAACACAUGCAAGUCGAACGGAAAGGCCCUGCUUUUGUGGGGUGCUCGAGUGGCGAACGGGUGAGUAACACGUGAGUAACCUGCCCUUGACUUUGGGAUAACUUCAGGAAACUGGGGCUAAUACCGGAUAGGAGCUCCUGCUGCUUGGUGGGGGUUGGAAAGUUUCGGUGGCUGGGGAUGGACUCGCGGCUUAUCAGCUUGUUGGUGGGGUAGUGGCUUACCAAGGCUUUGACGGGUAGCCGGCCUGAGAGGGUGACCGGCCACAUUGGGACUGAGAUACGGCCCAGACUCCUACGGGAGGCAGCAGUGGGGAAUGUUGCACAAUGGGCGGGAGCCUGAUGCAGCAACGCCGCGUGCGGGAUGACGGCCUUCGGGUUGUAAACCGCUUUCGCCUGUGACGAAGCGUGAGUGACGGUAAUGGGUAAAGAAGCACCGGCUAACUACGUG
This 468-nucleotide ribosomal RNA is filed under the name uncultured bacterium. RNAcentral describes it as "partial 16S ribosomal RNA". It matches the Rfam family "Bacterial small subunit ribosomal RNA", at positions 28 to 507 of the family's 1533-position model. The record is from RNAcentral.